Molecule: small nuclear RNA, 157 nt
Organism: Ailuropoda melanoleuca (giant panda)
Lineage: Eukaryota; Metazoa; Chordata; Mammalia; Carnivora; Ursidae
Gene: U1
Rfam family: U1 spliceosomal RNA
About the family: U1 is a small nuclear RNA (snRNA) component of the spliceosome (involved in pre-mRNA splicing).
Source: Ensembl
AUACUUGCCUGGCAGGGGAGAUACCAUGAUCACAAAAUGGUUUUCCCAGGUUUUUGUCCGUUGUACUCAGGAGGUGCCGACCCCAGUGAUUUCCCCAAAUGUGGCAAACUCAACUGCAUAAUUUGUGGUGGUGGGGGACUGUUCGUGUUCUCCCCUG